AGUAGGUGAGGUAACGGCUCACCUAGGCGACGAUACAUAGCCGACCUGAGAGGGUGAUCGGCCACACUGGGACUGAGACACGGCCCAGACUCCUACGGGAGGCAGCAGUAGGGAAUCUUCGGCAAUGGGGGCAACCCUGACCGAGCAACGCCGCGUGAGUGAAGAAGGUUUUCGGAUCGUAAAGCUCUGUUGUAAGUCAAGAACGAGUGUGAGAGUGGAAAGUUCACACUGUGACGGUAGCUUACCAGAAAGGGACGGCUAACUACGUGCCAGCAGCCGCGGUAAUACGUAGGUCCCGAGCGUUGUCCGGAUUUAUUGGACGUAAAGCGAGCGCAGGCGGUUUGAUAAGUCUGAAGUUAAAGGCUGUGGCUCAACCAUAGUUCGCUUUGGAAACUGUCAAACUUGAGUGCAGAAGGGGAGAGUGGAAUUCCAUGUGUAGCGGUGAAAUGCGUAGAUAUAUGGAGGAACACCGGUGGCGAAAGCGGCUCUCUGGUCUGUAACUGACGCUGAGGCUCGAAAGCGUGGGGAGCGAACAGGAUUAGAUACCCUGGUAGUCCACGCCGU
RNAcentral lists this ribosomal RNA (564 nucleotides) under uncultured organism. Its description in RNAcentral is "SSU rRNA". It matches the Rfam family "Bacterial small subunit ribosomal RNA", at positions 247 to 803 of the family's 1533-position model. The record is from RNAcentral.